Molecule: long non-coding RNA, 1305 nt
Filed under: Laticauda laticaudata (blue-ringed sea krait)
Lineage: Eukaryota; Metazoa; Chordata; Lepidosauria; Squamata; Elapidae
Description: lncRNA (ENSLLTG00000010363.1)
Source: RNAcentral
UGUGCAUUUAUGCGGUUAACAAAAGUUCUUUGUGCUGGCUGCACACAUUUUUAAUUCCCAUUUUUUUGCAAACAGGCAACGCAAUGCAUGAUGGGUGAUAUAGCAUCCCUCUAGUCUAGUCAGGCCGGGGGCCCCGGUCUCCUUCAUCUGUUGCUAUGGAGAUAUGCUCCCCUCCCUUCGAACGGCUUUCGUCACUUGACAAAACACGACCACGUGACCUCUGUCCUCGGCUUUCCCACCCUUCACCUAGUUUCUGUCCAUCACUAUAAAGCUCCGGCCAAUCGCGAAGGGCGUCUUACAUGUAUAACUUAAGGCCCGCCCUUGUAAGGAGCACGCCGACCAAUGAGGGGCGGGAUACGAGUUUGCUGUCCAUAGAGGCGGUGUUUCCAAAUACACACGCACACGUAAGAACCACCACAGAAGACGGGACGUUUGGUUAGACCGAUGUGCUUAGGGACCAAUGAGUCCGCACUACCGUAAAGAGGAAGCCCGCCUUCCUCCCCGACGAGCCAAUCAGCGGGCGGAGUGUCUCCAUCGCUCCGUCUUUUAGUCGCCUCAGCCGUAUUGAAAAUAACAGGGCUUCGCCAAGAAGCGCGGGAGGCCCUGGAGUCGUUUCGCCGGUCCCGGAAAAAGCGAGCUGGAGGCUUUCAAAGAAGCCCCGGGGGCGGCCGCCGAGACCCUUCGGAGGCCUCGUCGCCACCCUUAACUCUUCCGAAUCCGGCGGCGGCGGCGGGGGGAGCGGGCUCAAUGCGCACGCGCGAAGGCCUCUCCUGCUCCCGAGCCCUCCGGGCCGCCGCCGGGUCGCCGUCAGCAUGAGCCAAACCGCUGCCGUCCUGCCCCCGCCGGGUCCGACCUCCCGCUCCAUGCACGUGGAGUUGCCGUCUCAGCAGUUUUUUCAGAAUAAAAGUCCCUGGGUGGAAUGUGAAGCUGAUUGAAGUGCCCAGCCAAUUCUUUCCUAACUUCUUGGCACUCUGAAUCAAAACAGGGUAAGCUUGUCCUUAGAUUUUACUCUCUUAGCAAAUCCCAGGGCAGAUAACACUGGUUGAAAUAGCUGAAUAAAUUUUCUAUAACCCCUUUUGUUGAGGUUACCAGAUACAGCUACAUAAGCAAGAGGGGAAGAAAGUGUCAAGUUGCCUUGAUAGGCUUCUACUUUGGCCCAUAAGUUAUUAAUUUAGUAUUAGGCUUGCAGAGGUGUGAUACUUGAGUUGUAGCUGCCGUGAAGAGGCCCCCAUUAUGGAGUAGACCUAAAUUCUCUUUUCUGUGUGUAAUGUUUAAUAAAGUGGAGACAAGUCUCACAUAACAUAG